Molecule: long non-coding RNA, 161 nt
Filed under: Coturnix japonica (Japanese quail)
Lineage: Eukaryota; Metazoa; Chordata; Aves; Galliformes; Phasianidae
Description: lncRNA (ENSCJPG00005016597.1)
Source: RNAcentral
AGGCAUUCGUGUGUGUUUUAUCGUAGAACAUCGUGCUGCCAUCUGGGAAGAGAAACACCAUGGUACAGGAGCAGCUGGUGAAUGAGAAUGGCCAAAUAAACAUUGGCACUCAUUCUGCCAUUAGGUGACUGACAACCUCUGUGGAUCUUGGUAUAUCUGCA